UACGUAGGGUGCGAGCGUUGUCCGGAAUUAUUGGGCGUAAAGGGCUCGUAGGCGGUCUGUCACGUCGGGAGUGAAAACACGGGGCUUAACCCCGUGCCUGCUUCCGAUACGGGCAGACUAGAGGUAUGCAGGGGAGAACGGAAUUCCUGGUGUAGCGGUGGAAUGCGCAGAUAUCAGGAGGAACACCGGUGGCGAAGGCGGGUCUCUGGGCAGUAACUGACGCUGAGAAGCGAAAGCGUGGGGAGCGAACAGG
Molecule: ribosomal RNA, 253 nt
Filed under: uncultured bacterium
Lineage: Bacteria
Description: partial 16S ribosomal RNA
Rfam family: Bacterial small subunit ribosomal RNA
Source: RNAcentral